AUAAGCAUAUCAAUAAGCGGAGGAAAAGAAACUAACAAGGAUUCCCUUAGUAACUGCGAGUGAAGCGGGAAAAGCUCAAAUUUAAAAUCUGGCGGUUCUUUUCUUGGCCGUCCGAGUUGUAAUCUAGAGAAGUGCUUUCCGCGCUAGACCGUGUACAAGUCUCUUGGAAUAGAGCGUCAUAGAGGGUGAGAAUCCCGUCUCUGACACGGAUUGCUAGUGCUUUUGCGAUGCGCUCUCGAAGAGUCGAGUUGUUUGGGAAUGCAGCUCAAAAUGGGUGGUAAAUUCCAUCUAAAGCUAAAUAUUGGCGAGAGACCGAUAGCGAACAAGUACCGUGAGGGAAAGAUGAAAAGAACUUUGGAAAGAGAGUUAAACAGUACGUGAAAUUGUUGAAAGGGAAACGCUUGAAGUCAGUCGCAUCAGCUAGGGAUCAACCUUGCUAUUCGCUGGGUGCACUUUCCAGCUGAUGGGUCAGCAUCAAUUUUGAUCGUCGGACAAAGUUUGAAGGAAUGUGGCACUCAUUUUUGGGUGUGUUAUAGCCUUUGAUCGCAUACGACGGUCGGGAUUGAGGAUCUCAGCACGCCGAAAGGCCGGAGCUUUGCUCACGUUCGUGCUUAGGAUGCUGGCAUAAUGGCUUUAAUCGACC
RNAcentral lists this ribosomal RNA (643 nucleotides) under Humidicutis dictiocephala. Its description in RNAcentral is "LSU rRNA". It matches the Rfam family "Eukaryotic large subunit ribosomal RNA", at positions 34 to 649 of the family's 3401-position model. Lineage: Eukaryota; Fungi; Basidiomycota; Agaricomycetes; Agaricales; Hygrophoraceae. The record is from RNAcentral.